Numida meleagris (helmeted guineafowl) is the source of this 6626-nucleotide long non-coding RNA. RefSeq lists it as uncharacterized. The transcript is spliced from 3 exons. The record is from RefSeq and is a predicted model, not a curated record. Lineage: Eukaryota; Metazoa; Chordata; Aves; Galliformes; Numididae.
CCGCCCCGAGCGGGGCGGCCGCUGCAGCCGUUAGCGCGGCCGUUAGCCGUAGCACGCGCUCGCAGCCUGUCGCUUUUCAGGGGUCAGGCAGCGGUCUGUCUCGGGAGUGAGGCAACGCCCGCUGCCGUUGCAGCAGACGGACUAAAAGCCAGCCCGAGGGAUUGGCUUGCUUUCUUCUGAACUCGGGGCCGGAUGGGGAAAACGUGUCUCUCUCUGCCAUCCAGCUCUCCUAAUAAGUGCCGACAUCAGGGCUGAGCAGCCGGCCUGCCCCCUGCCGGGGUAAGCUGGGAAAAGCAUCUCUAGAUCGUGGCAAGAACGCGUGUGUCGCAUUUAACGACCUCCGCAGCACUGAGGAAGGAAGCAAACCUGUCUUGCACGACAAGAAAUCUGCCUUACGUCUUGUGAAUGACUGGCAUGUGAAUCCGGAAACAAAUCGGUACUAAAUGAGCGACUUAAGGCACGGUUUGCUUUCCCAGCCUCUACCCAGCCAGUUAUUCUGUCACAGAAGGCUAUCAGAAUGGCUAAGCAUGAUUACCCCUUGGUGAAACCACGUUGACUGCCCUGGUAACCUUGUCCUCCAUAUGCUGGCCUCCAGGACAAGCUGUUCCAUCACCUUUCCUUGGACAGAGGCUAUCAAGACCUGGACUAUAGCAAAGAGAUGAGCAUACUGGCUUAAAGGAUGACACUGAUAAGACUUAAAAGGAGUGUAAUAUAGUGGUUUAGAAAGAAUCAUGUCAUCCUAAAUAAGGAGAGAGCAGUACAGCACUUGUAUUGAGUCUGAGGAAAGGAAAAUGGACAGAAGCCUGGGUGCAAGAAGCAUAGGAGUUCCCAUUAGCUGUCUCUUAUCAAGUAAAAGAAGCAGCCAGGAAAAUCUUUGAAAAAAUGCACAGUCAGAGAAAUGUGGCUCCAAGGUAUGCUGAGCGUUCAUCUAACCCAGCUGCCUUCCCAGACACAGGAUCUUUUCAAAGCAUUGUGCUGCAUACAUUGGUGUUUAAAUCCACAACUGAAAAUUAUUAUAUCGACCUAUCCGAAAACAGAAUAACAUCAGUUUCCUCUACCUGCAGGUCAUUUCCAACCUGUCCUAGACUGAUGAGGCAGGCUUUAAAUUCAUCAGAAUGUAGAUUGUCAGAUUCAUCCUAGCAUCCCAUAACAGGUCAUGCAUUUGGAAGGUAAAAGGAAAGAAGGAAAAAAUCACAGACCAGGUUAGUUGGUUAGUAAAGAACUUUCUAUACUUUUAUUAAUAAACAGAUGUUUAUAGAACUUAAUGGAAAUGUAAUGUUAACUUAUUGCAAUGAAUUACCUAAAAUGGGUAAAACUUCUGUAGUUUCAUGCUUUAGUUUUCUUCUUAGUGGAAGAGGAUCUUGACUUCAAUUACAAUGUUAAAAUUGUGCUUCCUCUACAGGUACUUUUUAAACAUUUUUGCUUAUGAGGCAGUUUUUUUCUGCUGAACUACCAUUUGCUCCUUUAAUUUUCUAUUGCCAUACAGUGUCAUACAAAACAUGUCCUAUCUGUGUUAACAUACACAAUGAAAGAGAUGUUCCUAAGCUGAAAAAAUACAACCCUUACUGAUUUCACAGACUGACUGCUAUGUAUAAGAGGAUGGGUUCGCUUGGUGGAUGAAUAACUUACUUUUGAAUAUUUUCAUGUAGUUAUGCAUAACUAAAAUCCUAGGAGUUUUAACAAAUGCACUAUUUACCAAAUUAACUGGAUUAAGAGGUGUUUUAUCAAGUUCAUGAUGCCGCGCAUUUUGGACGUAUUGUGUUGCUCCUAUACUGACUCCCUCUGCAUCAGCCUCCACCAGCUCCAUGAAGGAAAGAUGAAGAACAAUGAGAGAAAAAGCAAAGCUACAAAUUUGGAGCUGCAUUUAGUUGAAAGCCAAAACCACAACCUUUAAAUCUCUAUUUUACGGGAUAAUUCCUGCUGUAAAGCAUUCAAAAUGGUUUAUUUUAUCAUUCACUGAAAAUGUUAAUGUAGGUUGACUCAAAACUAUCAAAAACCAUUCUGAGGGCAAGCUAUGGGGGCAAGACACAGUAGAAGCAAAGUCAGCUCAUUUUAUCUUAUUUCUAAAGCCAAAGGAAUUUCUGUGUGACUACAAACAAUGUGAUUUCAAAACUGGAGCUAAGAUCCAAAUCCUGUCCCUCCUCCUCCUCUACAGGAUUUGGUAGGAAAAUAUUAGCUAUUCAAGUGCACUAGGGGAGUGGGGGUGGUCAGUAUGUGUGUCAAUUGUAGUCAUCCAACAGGCAGUGGAGGAGAGCUGAUCGUGAAAGGGAGGCUAGCAUAUCUACCAAAGCAACCAGAAGAGAAGUCAAUGUUGUGCUUGAGCUCCCAGCCAGCAUUUGGCUUUGGGAUUCCCCAGGAGAGAGCUCAAGUAGUCCUGCGAUGUGCUAUAGGAGGCUUUCACAUUCCUGUAAUGAUUUUUAAAAAUCUUUGUCAUCUUCAGUAUAAAAAAAUAACAUCUUUGCCUUUGCCAUAUAUCAGCUGCAUGGGAUACAGUGAUAUUUUGCAAUUAAUCAUGGAUCAAAUCCAUGUAAUGAAUUGCUCAUUGGGAAAUGAUUCUUUGCAUUGUAUACAAACCAACAUAAAGCACUGAAAUUAUUUUUCUAAAGCAUUUAAAUAAUUGACUCAUUUAUCUUUUCUUGUCAAUACAAACUAAAACACUGAAAUCUCACCUUGUUUCAUUAUUAGUCCCCAGAGAACUUUUCCUUCUCCUGUAUGAAUUAUAUGUGGCCUUAUAUAAAAAAGUGGGAUUUUAAGUGAAAGUAAUAUAUCUUCCAAUAUGUGCUUCACUUUCACGAAUAUUAAUUGACCUGCAUAAGCUUGAUCAUGUGGUUCUUUUAAUGGGAAGCUGUUGUUUUUCUGUUAGUAAAAUAAAGGGUGGCAGGUUCUGCAUGCAGAACUCCUACUUAAAAUCUGUAGUUUGCACAAAAAUCAAUAGUACAGUACAUCAACAGAUAUUGCAUGCAAAGCAGGUUUUAUGCAGGCGUUUUAUCUCAUCUUACUUAGAAUGCACUAAACAUCCUGAAUCUGAAAAAGGAUUCUACAUUAAAAGACUUGAAAAAUCAGUGACUGACAACAUAACUAUUUCAAUGUCCCAAUUUGUCUGCAUACCAUUAUUCAGCUACGCACCAUUUUGAACACUUCUAAACUGCUGUGAUUUAGACAUAGUGUUCCACUUUCUUUUUUCCUCUAUGCAAACACAUUAAGAGAAGAGAAAAAAUAUACCAGCAUCGCUAAAGAUUUAUAUUUACACCUACAACUAGACUGUGCCCUUAAGCAUAGCCUCCAGCAAGGAGUUACCUUGCAGCAACAUCCUCAGGAAUAACUUCUGGGGCAUCAGCCUGCAAUUAUGUCUGUUGGAAAGAAAAGAUCUUGGAGGGCUGCCCCCUUGCCUCGAGGGAGAUAGUGUUCUUAAGAACUUGCCUUUGACAAGAUCACUUGUAAUGGUUUUUAUGCUAGCAUAGCUGUGCUGGUGGAUAUACUGAAGGAAACGCAAGCUCCUUCUGCCCUUAUAUAUUCUUCCAUGCAUGGUGUCCCCUUACUCAGUGUAAUUUAGGAGUCAGGGGCAUGUAGCCCCAAACAAAAUGUUGCAAAAUACCAAAGAGCUUUCUUUUAAAUAUUCAAGAUGUAGAAGCCAUUUAAAACAAUAACUUAGCUGUCUUUCAAAGAGCUAACUACAGAAUUAAGCCCCAUGAUUUAUUAUAAACUAAAAAAACAUACAUACAUGUUAUUUGCUUUCUUUCCUGGAGAGGAAGAAAGGGGUUCCUUCCUCAGAUUUAUAACCAAAGCAAGUUGUCUUUAGAAGUACUCUAUAGAAAAUUGUUAGGUUUACGUGUACUAAAAUAGAUUCUUUAAAAUGGAGAAGAGAGCUACUCUGCACAUUAGUAUUUUGCUGACAUCCUCAACACACAUUAAGAGUCAAACAUUAAGAUGUUUCUUAAACUGGAGAAAUGCCGCCAUACAAGUCAGAGCUAUAGCAUGCAUAAAAUGACUCUGUUUUGCUUAUGUGUUUAAAGCCUCCUGGUCAAGGACAGCAUUAGUUUUUAAAACCUUUUCUGGCUAUUCAUCAUUAUGAAUUGCAGUCUGAUGCUUUCGGUCUAUUUUUUAAACUAUGUCAGGUAUACAGAAAUGCUCCUACAAGCAACAGAAUUAUUACAUAUACUGCUAAAUGAUUGAUUUUUUUUGUCUUACAUGGAGAAGUCAGUACUUUCAUGUUAGUGCUUAUGUUCAUCUUCAUUUCUUUGAGGUGAUCAAGACCAAAAAUAACCCAUUCCUGCCCUCUCUAUCUAAUUUCCAAGUUUAGAGUCUUCAUUAUUUUGCGUACCCAGAAGUAUCCCUGAAGCAUCCCAGGUUUCCUUCAUUCACUGGCAAUAAAUUUUCAAGUGUACAAUGGAACAAGGAAAAUACAAAAAUGAAAAACAAGCCUGCUCCCCUCAGACACCUUUGCUCAAUGUCUCCUCUAGCCUGUGUAGAUCAAGUCAUAUCUUUAAAUUACAGUGCAAUUUAAUCAGUAUAAGCUUUUCUUUUAACAGUGUUUCUGUGGUCUGUCCUUUAAAGAAAGCCUGGCUUGAAGGCUGUGAUUUUAUAUCUAUUUUUUUUUUUCCCUUUCUUGAACUUACAUUAUGCUUCUAAGAAUGUAGUUGCUCUACUGUGACGGCACAGAAGUCCUCCUGGAUGAAUUUCCAAUCUCUGAAGGGAGGAACAUACUAAAUGGAACAUAUGCAAAGUUGUCCUUCUCUUCAUGUGAACCUUCCGGACCUAUUUUUAAGGACUUUGGAUUACAUCUGACAUGAGGGCAGGUACGGUGUGCAGCUAAACUUGCAGUUCGGGCCCAGGUUGUUGAGAUCAUAAAACAUACUGGAGAAUCUGUCUCCUUGCACUUCUGACUCAUCUGUUCAGGCUUCUUGUGACAGAAGCAAGGGCCGAGGGGACACUGCAUGAAGCUAUGUCUCCUCUUAUAAUGAGGACAAGGAGGUAGAUGUGGGUAGGCAGGAAUCUAAGAGCUGAGAAGUACUUCUGUAUUGUACUUUAUUGUCAUGGCCCAUCUCCAACCUGACUGUUGCUCUGUAACAUAAGCACCUUCUCUGAGGCAAUACAGCCCUUCCUAAGACUUUCCUCUAUUGUACCCUUUGGUAUCUCAAAGUCUUUCUAUUUCUGCAAAGCAUGAAGAUGCCUAAUAGGGCUGGUUGCUGAAGGAGUUAGCAUCUUCCUUCAGGACCUUCUGAGGUCCUUGGAUGCCAAGAGUAGCUCCUCAGUGACUGAACUAGCCUUGCUGCCAGCAUGGCAGAGAAUUUAUCUAUUAACUACAAAGAUACAGGGAUGCUAAAAAUGGCUAUCUAGUAUAACAUAUUUCAGGAUUUAGUCACCUUCCUUCCUUAUCUUUAGGAAGCUGUCAAAUCUUCAUGCAAAGCUUCCCUUAAUAGGGUAUCUUAAAUACUAAUGUGUAAUUUAUCCAGACCUGGUACUCUGUCUGCUUUUAAUAGCUCUAAUUUCUCAGUCAUCUGCUCCAGUGCACUGGGGAAACCAUUCAAUAAACUACUUCCUGCUACCUCAAGAAAGCUAUUUCUGCUUCUGUAACGGUAUCUUCUGCUUCCUCAGCCAAUACAAAAAAAAAUUAUCCUGCACUAGAAUCACAUUAAGAUUUUCCAUAAGAUCUAUCCCUGAUUCCUGUGUGGCUCGCCUUUUCUAUACUUGUGUGUUUCAUCAAAAAACAGAGUCAUGAGAAUUCUGCUUUUCUUCCUAAACACUUAAGAAUAUUCUAAAAAAAUACUUAGCAAAUGAUGACUGUCAAUGUCCAACACACAUCAAGUACAGGUAUGGGUAACCAUUUUGGAUAGAGCUGGACAAGCAAGAUAUUAGUGAAAAGAAAGUGGCAUUUUACUACACCCUGAAAUAAUUUGAAGGAGCUGAUUCGUGGUAACAAUGCAAGUUAGGGGUUAAGCACAGCCUGGUAACUACAGGAAUCUAUACUGAAACAAAGACAGCAGCCCAGUGCUGGAUUAUGGUAAUCUUUUUUCAGCAUCUGAAAUGUGAACUCAGUUUUGAAGGUGGUGUUCUAACUCAUGUAAAGAUGGUUCUCCAGCUGGGAAUAUCAGAUCCAUUCUUUUGCUACUGUUUCCAAAACUAGAUUUAUUUUUAAUACUCUAUACAUGAGUACCGUAUAAAUCACAGAAUGAUUAAGUUAAGUUUCUUCAUAAAAGUGUUUUAAUUUCUAUUUUCUUAUUCAUCUCUUAUUAGAUAAAUGAAACAUAUAGACUCUCAUUUCCCACUUACAGACAGGAAAAUAAAGGAUUUUCCUAGGCAACUAUCAGUACCCUAGCUACAUUCCCCACAAAUCUACUUCUAGAGCAACAACUUGUGAUUCAGAGAAGUAAACAAAAAUAUUGUAAACAAGAUUACAGCUAAAUUUAAUGAAGUGGAAACCAUGCUGCACUGCCUUAAAGCAAAGGGGUGCAUUAUUUUCAAAAAAAAAAAGAUUAUCCAAUCCUGUCUGUUACUUGAACAAGUGCUCAACAAUACUAGCAGAACUGUAAUUUGCAUUACAUUUAGAGAGAUUAUGCGUACAACGCUAUGAUUUCAUAAGGCUGUAAAUACUUUGUUAAUUGAUCUUUAUUACCAUUUUAAAAAUA